AUUUGUGUGACAAGUAAAAAAGUUACAGGAUUUGCAUUUAAACGUCCUCAGUGAAAAAAAAAACAAAAAUACUAACAAUAUUUAUUGCAUAAUUUGUUGAGUAUUGGAAAGACCAAAAUCCACAAUCAUCAUGCCAAAAAAUUCUAACCAUGCAAGUUAAAUUGUAAAUUAGCAAACAUAAUGUGGUACAAGAAAAUCAUAGGUUUUCACUCUAUAUCAACUUAUAAAAGUAAAUAAAAA
Molecule: unclassified non-coding RNA, 240 nt
Filed under: Hevea brasiliensis (rubber tree)
Lineage: Eukaryota; Viridiplantae; Streptophyta; Magnoliopsida; Malpighiales; Euphorbiaceae
Source: RNAcentral